AAACGGGCUGGCUUCGAAGAUGAGCAGGAACGAGGGCGUCAUAAUUUACCAUAGUAACGGCAGCUUCCGCAGAAGCCAUUUCUAAGAAAGCCUGGCUUCUUCCUUUCAGCAUCAAAUGGUUAGUUACUUUGCCAAACGGAAGUCCUAAAGCAGACACCACUGUAGAAGGACCAGAGCUGUUCCUGGUAGAAGGGCUGUUACUGACACCGCAACAAAGAAGCUCAUGAAUCUCUGCCAUCCAUGGCCCCUGUCGCCUCCAGCGCAGGAAGCAGGCGGUGACAGCAAGGCGGCUCCGGGAAAGGAAAAAGAAGACAUAGAAGAAAUUCAGGAUUUCAUCUGAAUGCACGACGCCAAAGCUGUACUCAUAUUAUGAUAACAAAUAGACAUAACAUAAUAGACAACUCAACAUCAGUAGAAAACUUCAUAAUUGUAAAAUUUCAAAAAUGAGAAUUAAAUUCACAUCAUGCAAUCCUGAG
RNAcentral lists this long non-coding RNA (476 nucleotides) under Fukomys damarensis (Damara mole-rat). Its description in RNAcentral is "lncRNA (ENSFDAG00000022242.1)". Lineage: Eukaryota; Metazoa; Chordata; Mammalia; Rodentia; Bathyergidae. The record is from RNAcentral.